GAAACUAGGCAUAUGGAAACACGUCGUUUUCUAUUUCAUCAUUCUUCGCCGUCGCGAUAUCGACUCCAACUCUGGGGGUUUGAUUCAUCUUCUUCUUCCUAUCCAAAAUUUUACCAGUUUCACAUUCAUCUUCUUAAAUUCUCCAUUGAUUCAAUCACCCAUGAUCUAUAUUUAUUGUCUGCUUCGUUCUUCCAAGGCGGUGGAGAUCUCAGUAUAAAAGGUUAACAUCACUACUCUCGAAGUUUAUCUUACCAAUCUAUUCAAACCGAUAAAUCCAUUUAUGGGAGGUGAGGAAUGUUAGGCGGGUGAUGAAUCCUAUUAUUAUUUAUUAUUAUACACUCUUCUUCUCCAUAGAUUCCUGCGAAGAUCAAAGAGUCAUGGCAACCUCCCAGCUAUAGAUGUCCGAUCUGAAGCCGGGCCUUUGUUCUCAGAUCUUGGUCAUCAUCGCCUCCUCCGUUUCUGGGAAGCUCUGAAGAAAGCUGGAUUUGCUAUGAAGAAACAGAUGUUGGAUGAUAGAAGGUUCCCAAAUUUGCAUCUCAACUUGCAGUGCAGGUGAUUCCACAUGCAGAACAAGUAUUUCCAAGAGUGAAAGAAAAAUGUUCCACGAAGCAUUGGUUUCUUACAGAAAAUAUCAAUUGUUUGGAGGAGUUGAUUGGUCGGUUAAGACAUUUACACGAGAAUGUAGGUAUCAUUGCGAACCAUGUUACUGCAAUCCAAGCUGGUUUGGAUAGUUGGCAAGCUAAGCAAAUUAAUAGAAAUCUCUUUUACCUCUAUCAAUCAUCACCGGAGUUUUUAGAUGAACGUUGGAGGAGUUCCUUGGACAGGGCAAAACAAACCUGAGCUAGGGUGUGGAUAACAGUCCUGGAGAUGAUAUGAAACAUUUGCUUCUUUUGAGAGCCCUCUAGGUGAACCCAACUCAAUUACCAAGCAUUCCCUUACACCUGAUGAUAGUACGUUUGGACCAAAAUAGUCGAUGCAGCCAACAUUAGUCACUGCACAGCAGACUUCCGCAGGUGAUAAUCGUGCUGAUACACAAGGUUCAACAAUAAGCAACCCAACCAAGAAGGCCCGUAAAGCUUAGUAUUAUCAGUGAAUCACUAACAAGAAACCACCCACUCUUAUACCAUGCUUAAUCCAAGGGUUUGGACACUUAGUCCACCAUUAUCUUUACAUGUGUUUGUUGCAUCCUUUGAUAUUUUUAAAAUAUAAAUUAUUAUUAGGUUCUACAGAUUCUUAGUAAUGUGCACUUUUGAAAAUUUCAAACUUUGUUAUUUAUCAAUCUACCUUAUAUGUUCAAUC
Brassica napus (rape) is the source of this 1299-nucleotide long non-coding RNA. RefSeq lists it as uncharacterized. The record is from RefSeq and is a predicted model, not a curated record. The transcript is spliced from 5 exons. Lineage: Eukaryota; Viridiplantae; Streptophyta; Magnoliopsida; Brassicales; Brassicaceae.